This 488-nucleotide ribosomal RNA is filed under the name uncultured bacterium. RNAcentral describes it as "partial 16S ribosomal RNA". It matches the Rfam family "Bacterial small subunit ribosomal RNA", at positions 30 to 506 of the family's 1533-position model. The record is from RNAcentral.
UUGAACGCUGGCGGCAGGCCUAACACAUGCAAGUCGAACGGUAACAGGAAGCAGCUUGCUGCUUCGCUGACGAGUGGCGGACGGGUGAGUAAUGUCUGGGAAACUGCCUGAUGGAGGGGGAUAACUACUGGAAACGGUAGCUAAUACCGCAUAACGUCGCAAGACCAAAGAGGGGGACCUUAGGGCCUCUUGCCAUCGGAUGUGCCCAGAUGGGAUUAGCUAGUAGGUGGGGUAACGGCUCACCUAGGCGACGAUCCCUAGCUGGUCUGAGAGGAUGACCAGCCACACUGGAACUGAGACACGGUCCAGACUCCUACGGGAGGCAGCAGUGGGGAAUAUUGCACAAUGGGCGCAAGCCUGAUGCAGCCAUGCCGCGUGUAUGAAGAAGGCCUUCGGGUUGUAAAGUACUUUCAGCGGGGAGGAAGGGAGUAAAGUUAAUACCUUUGCUCAUUGACGUUACCCGCAGAAGAAGCGCCGGCUAACUCCGU